GCCGGGCGGCCUUGCUGGACUUGUUUUACCUUUCUCGAGCACCUUGUGCGAGGGAUUCCUAGGAUGCUUUGGGUUAUCUCGAGGUUGUGGUUAUCCAAUAGGGACCCGAGGAGAUCACGGGUCUCCCUGAUCGAGGUCAUUCCGUCGCAGUGUGUGGUAGCUUAUGAUGGACUAGUUGGAGCACCCCUGCAGGGUUAAAUCUUUCGGAAAGUCGUGCUCGCGGUUAUGUGGCAAUGUGAAACUUUGCUUAACAUCUGGUUCUAGAUAACUUCAAGUAAACGUAACUAAAACUUGCAAACUGAGUGUGUAACCAUGAUUGUCUCUUUCGUGAGCUCCUUCUCCGAUCAAGGACACAGUGGGGUUAUGUAUGAUGUAAGUAGGUGUCCAGGAUCAUUCAUUUGAUCAUCAUUAGUUCAUGUCCGCUAUGCGAAGAUCAUCUCCCUCUUAUUCUUGUACUCGUAAGUUAGCCAUCUCAAACAAAUGCUUAGUCGCUUGAUGCAGCCUCACCACUUAACCAUACCUCACCCAUAAAGCUUUGCUAGUCUUGAUACCUUUGGAAAUGAGAUUGCUGAGUCCCCUAUGGCUCAUAGAUUACUACAACACCAGUUACAGGUACAGGUAAAGGGUUACUUGACGCGAGUGCAUUGAUUGUUCAUUUGGAGUUUCUUCUUCUUCAUCAUCGAUCUAGGAUGGGUUCUAGGCCAGCAGCCUAGGAUAGCAAGGAUGGACGUCAUUAUUUUAUUGUUUGUUUUCAUCUGUAGUCGGACCCUGCUCUUCUUCAUGAUGAUUGUACGUAUUGUACUGAUGUGACUCUGAUGUAGCUUGUGGCGAGUGUAAGCCAACUCCUUAUACUCAUCUUUUCAGUACAUCUACUUGUAAUGAUAUCCAUUCUUGCGAAACGACAAGAUGCGCAUAUAUCCCUGUCGAGGCCCUCCUGCCAAAA
RNAcentral lists this long non-coding RNA (943 nucleotides) under Hordeum vulgare. RNAcentral describes it as "long non-coding RNA (HVUL_LNC006577)". Lineage: Eukaryota; Viridiplantae; Streptophyta; Magnoliopsida; Poales; Poaceae. The record is from RNAcentral.